CAAGACAUAGCUUAAACAAAGCACCUAGUUUACACCUAGAAGAUUUCACGCAUAACGAAUGUCUUGA
Molecule: transfer RNA, 67 nt
Filed under: Antilocapra americana (pronghorn)
Lineage: Eukaryota; Metazoa; Chordata; Mammalia; Artiodactyla; Antilocapridae
Description: transfer RNA-Val
Source: RNAcentral